RNAcentral lists this unclassified non-coding RNA (161 nucleotides) under uncultured Glomerellales. Its description in RNAcentral is "sequence contains ITS1". Lineage: Eukaryota; Fungi; Ascomycota; Sordariomycetes; Glomerellales. The record is from RNAcentral.
CCGAGUUAGACAACUCCCAACCCUUUGUGAACAUACCGUAUUUUCGUUGCUUCGGCGGGCUGCCCCAGGGGGGGCUGCAGCCUAUAAAAGGCGCCCGCCGGAGGACCUAGACUCUGAAUUUAAAAUAAGUCUCCUCUGAGUAAAACAAAAUAAAUAAAUCA